AUGAACGCUGGCGGCGUGCCUCAUACAUGCAAGUCGAGCGAACAGAUGAGGAGCUUGCUCCUCUGACGUUAGCGGCGGACGGGUGAGUAACACGUGGAUAACCUACCUAUAAGACUGGGAUAACUUCGGGAAACCGGAGCUAAUACCGGAUAAUAUAUUGAACCGCAUGGUUCAAUAGUGAAAGACGGUUUUGCUGUCACUUAUAGAUGGAUCCGCGCCGCAUUAGCUAGUUGGUAAGGUAACGGCUUACCAAGGCAACGAUGCGUAGCCGACCUGAGAGGGUGAUCGGCCACACUGGAACUGAGACACGGUCCAGACUCCUACGGGAGGCAGCAGUAGGGAAUCUUCCGCAAUGGGCGAAAGCCUGACGGAGCAACGCCGCGUGAGUGAUGAAGGUCUUCGGAUCGUAAAACUCUGUUAUUAGGGAAGAACAAAUGUGUAAGUAACUAUGCACGUCUUGACGGUACCUAAUCAGAAAGCCACGGCUAACUACGU
This 495-nucleotide ribosomal RNA is filed under the name uncultured bacterium. RNAcentral's name for it is "partial 16S ribosomal RNA". It matches the Rfam family "Bacterial small subunit ribosomal RNA", at positions 29 to 506 of the family's 1533-position model. The record is from RNAcentral.